Molecule: small nuclear RNA, 107 nt
Filed under: Phocoena sinus (vaquita)
Lineage: Eukaryota; Metazoa; Chordata; Mammalia; Artiodactyla; Phocoenidae
Also listed under: 1 other name
Source: RNAcentral
GUGCUCACUUCAGCAGCACAUAUACUAAAAUUGGAACGACACGGAGAAGAUCAGCGUGGACCCUGUACGAGGAUGACAUGGAAAUUUGCGAAGCGUACCAUAUUAAA